Molecule: long non-coding RNA, 1178 nt
Organism: Alligator mississippiensis (American alligator)
Lineage: Eukaryota; Metazoa; Chordata; Crocodylia; Alligatoridae
Exons: 3
Source: RefSeq, a predicted model, not a curated record
UAUACUUUGUUAUAGUUUUCCAUAUUUUUUCCAUCAUUAGAUUCUAUAGAUGGAAAACUACAACACAUUUUAUAAUUUUCUGUGUAUAGAAUCUAAUUAUUGGAGGGCCAUCUUAAAUUCAAAGUUGUCUUGGAUUUGGGUGUAUACUGUAUCCAGGUCUGGGAUUCCUAGAUCUAUCUAAAACCCUUAAAAGCUAUCAGCAUGCUUUAGAGUACUGAUGCUCAGCUUCUUUCGUCCCAUGGCUACAAGUAGCCAUUGUUGUUUUAAUGAAUUCAUGGUAUUUAGAAUGGUUUGUUAAUCAUAAUAAUAGUUGUCACAACCCAAUGAUUUUGGUGCCUCGGCACAGUGGAAUUUUCCCGCCACAUGAGAGCCUCUUGCAAAGUAAAGGUUUUCUGUUGCUGCAGAAAACUCCCGGUGCAAGAGAGUUCCCACCAUUCGAAUGUAAAUUUGUGUCCCGCUAUUGGCCAGCUCUAAAUUAUUCCCACGUGGCGGCUGGUAAUUGGCUUGCUAGCCUUUUAAAAAUUAGCGCAACUUCCGCCCAAGUUGGAGAACUUUGAGCACACUGCAGAGUGCCUCUGAAGAGAUCUGACUUGUGGCUGAGCUGAUCGAUAGACUGAUCACCUAUCGAUUCUUCUCCCCGUCGCCGAGCACAAUCCCAGAUGUAUCCUUUUCCCUACCGGCCUGAUUUGUAGAUGGACGUGCUGGCCUGAGCCCUGCCAGCUGGAACAACUAACGUAGUUGUUCAGACGACCGGACCGUUUUCGUCGCAACCGCAAGCGAUGUUCUGGAAGUGCUGUAUCCUGCCUCCCCUUUUUUCCCCCUGAUUCCAGAAGAACUACAAGCUGCUUCUUCAGACUGGGAGCCAGCAUCAGAAAUGCAGAAGGUGAACAAAGGAAAGACACUUAGACCAAGGACCCCAACAACAGGAAACAUCUGUUCCAAGCCUGUUCCCCUCAUGCUUUCUGGUGGACCCUGUGGCAAAGAAUCUGUAAUUUUUCCUCUAAUAUCCACCGUAUUUGUCACCAGGAUAUCUCCACUAUAUCUAAAGGCUGCUUCUGACUCCUUCUCUUUCACCUGAAGCUUCUUAAAUGUUGCUAUAGAUCUAUAUUUGUCUUCACAGUUUUUGUAAUUCUUUUUUCAAUUUUAACUUUUAAACUGAUCCAUCUGUCCUAUGAGAA